This 108-nucleotide small nuclear RNA is filed under the name Castor canadensis (American beaver). Lineage: Eukaryota; Metazoa; Chordata; Mammalia; Rodentia; Castoridae. The record is from RNAcentral.
AUGCUGGUUUCAGCAGCACAUAUACUAAAAUCAGAGCAAUACAAAAAACAAUUAGCAUAGACCCUGUGUCAAGAUGACACCCAAAGUCAUAAAGUGAUCCAUAUUUUA